UACGGAGGGCGCGAGCGUUACCCGGAUUUACUGGGCGUAAAGGGCGUGUAGGCGGUCUGGGGCGUCCCAUGUGAAAGGCCACGGCUCAACCGUGGAGGAGCGUGGGAUACGCUCAGGCUAGACGGUGGGAGAGGGUGGUGGAAUUCCAGGAGUAGCGGUGAAAUGCGCAGAUACCGGGAGGAACGCCGAUGGCGAAGGCAGCCACCUGGCUCACUGGUGACGCUGAGGCGAGAAAGCGUGGGGAGCAAACCGG
RNAcentral lists this ribosomal RNA (253 nucleotides) under uncultured bacterium. Its description in RNAcentral is "partial 16S ribosomal RNA". It matches the Rfam family "Bacterial small subunit ribosomal RNA", at positions 524 to 776 of the family's 1533-position model. The record is from RNAcentral.